Molecule: ribosomal RNA, 253 nt
Filed under: uncultured bacterium
Lineage: Bacteria
Description: partial 16S ribosomal RNA
Rfam family: Bacterial small subunit ribosomal RNA
Source: RNAcentral
UACGAAGGGGGCUAGCGUUGUUCGGAAUUACUGGGCGUAAAGGGCGCGUAGGCGGUUUUGUAAGUCAGAUGUGAAAGCCCCGGGCUCGACCCGGGAAUAGCAUUUGAUACUGCGAGGCUUGAGUCCGGGAGAGGAUGGCGGAAUUCCCAGUGUAGAGGUGAAAUUCGUAGAUAUUGGGAAGAACGCCGGUGGCGAAGGCGGCCAUCUGGACCGGUACUGACGCUGAGGUGCGAAAGCGUGGGGAGCAAACAGG